Molecule: ribosomal RNA, 429 nt
Filed under: Gemmatimonadota bacterium
Lineage: Bacteria; Pseudomonadati; Gemmatimonadota
Description: Gemmatimonadetes bacterium partial 16S ribosomal RNA
Rfam family: Bacterial small subunit ribosomal RNA
Source: RNAcentral
UAGGGAAUCUUCGGCAAUGGACGAAAGUCUGACCGAGCAACGCCGCGUGAGUGAAGAAGGUUUUCGGAUCGUAAAACUCUGUUGUUAGAGAAGAACAAGGACGUUAGUAACUGAACGUCCCCUGACGGUAUCUAACCAGAAAGCCACGGCUAACUACGUGCCAGCAGCCGCGGUAAUACGUAGGUGGCUAGCGUUGUCCGGAUUUAUUGGGCGUAAAGCGAGCGCAGGCGGUUUCUUAAGUCUGAUGUGAAAGCCCCCGGCUCAACCGGGGAGGGUCAUUGGAAACUGGGAGACUUGAGUGCAGAAGAGGAGAGUGGAAUUCCAUGUGUAGCGGUGAAAUGCGUAGAUAUAUGGAGGAACACCAGUGGCGAAGGCGGCUCUCUGGUCUGUAACUGACGCUGAGGCUCGAAAGCGUGGGGAGCAAACAGG